RNAcentral lists this long non-coding RNA (902 nucleotides) under Salmo salar (Atlantic salmon). Its description in RNAcentral is "lncRNA (ENSSSAG00000097922.1)". The record is from RNAcentral. Lineage: Eukaryota; Metazoa; Chordata; Actinopteri; Salmoniformes; Salmonidae.
GUAAGUUGGUGGUUGAAGAUAUCCCUCAAGUGGUGUGGGGGGCUGUGCUUUGGCAAGGUGGGUGGGGUUAUAUCCUGCCUGUUUGGCCCUGUCCGGGGGUAUCGUCGGAUGGGGCCACAGUGUCUCCCGACCACUCCUGUCUCAGCCUCCAGUAUUUAUGCUGCAGUAGUUUAUGUGUCGGGGGGCUAGGGCCAGUCUGCUAUAUCAUAUAAUUUGACCACAGUGAGUGCAUUUGUUAUGUUAAAUCCAUACAAAGUACAGUCAUUUGUUGAAUUUGAGGCACGUGUGAAAGUGACAAACCAUUGAUGAAAUACUAUAAAAAUGUGAUAAUGGGAAAUGGAAUGAGAGAUGGCUGAUCUUCCUCUGGUGGAAGAUUUGGCACACGCUGCAGAGAGCAGGGUUUUGGAGACAGGUGGGACUUUUUUGCAUAAAGUACAGAUUGGUUUUGGGAAACAGGAUUUAAGACCAGCUUUAGAAAAGUAAAUGCGUGCUUUUCCAGUGCACUUCCAAGUGCUAUCCAUCCUCGGGUUUUUGGCAAUGGGCACUUUUCAGCAGGAGCUUGCCCAUCGGCAUCUCACAGCCCUCAAUGAGGCAAUGUUUUGCAUGCAAUCAUCAGCAAAACGAACAGUAUCAUACAAUUUCCAUACACCAUUAUACAACAGGUUGAAGUCGAGGGGUUUCUUUGCCAUCAAUGGGUUCCUAAAACAUUAAUGGAGCAGUGGCGACCUGUCAUUCAGUGCAGGUGGGGAAGAGCCCCACCUGUUUCGCAAAAAAAUAUAUUACAAUCAUUUUUUGUUGUUGCCUGUUUCACAUGUUAUUUUGGCAUUAAUACGUGUCACAUAUCAGUUUGCAAACAAUCCCAAAAAUAUUUUAUUAAGUUAAUAAAGCCGCCUACAAACAUG